RNAcentral lists this long non-coding RNA (412 nucleotides) under Gossypium barbadense (sea-island cotton). Its description in RNAcentral is "long non-coding RNA (GBAR_LNC016921)". The record is from RNAcentral. Lineage: Eukaryota; Viridiplantae; Streptophyta; Magnoliopsida; Malvales; Malvaceae.
UUUCUGCAAUUUAAUUUUAUUUAUUUGAAAAUUUUUACUCACUAAAUUUCUAUUUUAAUGAAAAAUGAGGAAAGAGAAAGUAUCUAAAAAGAUGGAUACGCUGCUCAUUUCGUCUACUCUCUCACUUUCUCUUUUUCAUCCAUUUCCUACUCACUCUGUCUCCCCCAACUCUGGGCCAUGCUAGAUCUGCCCCUUCUUUCAAUAUUUGAAAACCAAGAAGCUAAUUUUAAUUUGAAUCAUGUUGCGGUACGACUCCACCUCGUCAUCAGCGGGAAGUAGCAGUGGCAGCUUAUCAUCCUCCUCCUCCUCCUCCAAGCCACCGCAGCAAGAUAUUGAUGGACUGCUCGCCGGUGCUGGUUAUAAAGUCCGGUCGUCGGAGCUACGACAAGUAGCUCAGCGACUGGAACGACUC